UAACAUAAAUUAAAUCUAUGCUAAUUUGCUCCCUUUCCUGACUAUCAAACUCCUGAUACUCUGUACUUCAUUUGACCCUCAGCAGAAUCUGGAAAAGUCCUAAUUCUGUUUUAGAGGAUAAUGUUUGAUUGUAGUUUUUCAGAGACUCACUUACCAUUUUUAUAAAUUUGCUUCCUGCUCAAAGAAUAGUUUGUCCUUUGUCCCCCAAAUCAGUCAGUCACUGCCCACCUACCAUUUUCUCUUGGGAAAAGAUUUUAGUCUUUUAAAGGUUUUAGAAGUAUUGCCUGGUAGCAAAUCAUGUACACAGAUAGAUAAUUGUGUGAUAUUGGAUCACCUCUUUAAACAGGUCCUUUAUGAAAACCACAUUGAAUUUGUAAAUAGAGGUUUUUUUAUUUUAUAUCUUGGAUAGAUUUUUAUUUGAUAAUAUAUUCAGGUUAUUUAAGUUGUCUUACUUUUUAGAACCCCAGAAUAGCACCACUCUUGCUUUUAACUCAGUUCAAGAGGAGUUUGAUUUGGAAACACUGACAUACCCACCAAGAAGAAUGAAAUUGUACACUGCGUACAAUACAGGUGUAUCGUUUGGGGUUAUUGAGCCGUAAGCCACAGAAACUGACUCUGG
RNAcentral lists this long non-coding RNA (619 nucleotides) under Bos taurus (domestic cattle). RNAcentral's name for it is "long non-coding RNA NONBTAT011833". The record is from RNAcentral. Lineage: Eukaryota; Metazoa; Chordata; Mammalia; Artiodactyla; Bovidae.